GUGGGGAAUAUUGCACAAUGGGCGCAAGCCUGAUGCAGCAACGCCGCGUGAGGGACGACGGCCUUCGGGUUGUAAACCUCUUUUAGCAGGGAAGAAGCGAAAGUGACGGUACCUGCAGAAGAAGCGCCGGCUAACUACGUGCCAGCAGCCGCGGUAAUACGUAGGGCGCAAGCGUUGUCCGGAAUUAUUGGGCGUAAAGAGCUCGUAGGUGGUUUGUCGCGUCUGGUGUGAAAACUCACGGCUCAACCGUGAGCUUGCAUCGGGUACGGGCAGGCUAGAGUGCGGUAGGGGAGACUGGAAUUCCUGGUGUAGCGGUGGAAUGCGCAGAUAUCAGGAGGAACACCGAUGGCGAAGGCAGGUCUCUGGGCCGCAACUGACGCUGAGGAGCGAAAGCAUGGGGAGCGAACAGGAUUAGAUACCCUGGUAGUCC
Molecule: ribosomal RNA, 430 nt
Filed under: uncultured bacterium
Lineage: Bacteria
Description: partial 16S ribosomal RNA
Rfam family: Bacterial small subunit ribosomal RNA
Source: RNAcentral